Long non-coding RNA from Alligator mississippiensis (American alligator), 2170 nucleotides. RefSeq lists it as uncharacterized. The transcript has 4 exons. Lineage: Eukaryota; Metazoa; Chordata; Crocodylia; Alligatoridae. The record is from RefSeq and is a predicted model, not a curated record.
GCCCCAUGGGUAAAGCUCGCCUCCCUCAGAUUUCGGAGAUCAGCUUCACGCCGAGGUGAAAGGCAGGGAGUGGGAGACCUGUAGGAGGGUGACAUCCACACCUGAGCCUCGAGACGAGCUAUGGAUUGGAAUAUUGAUUGCUGCUUCUCUGCAUCGGAUACCAGGGCCGUGCAGCUUCCCGUGGCAGCACGACCCACGGGGGACACAUGAGGGGUGUGGAUGUCAGACCCUACAAGGGACUCGAGUCAGAGCAGCUGGGGGCUGGGCUGGUGGACGGACUGGAAUCGACUUCAGGACUCUUGUCUGAGAGCAGAAGUGGAGGCGAGGGGUCACUGCGGGAAUUAAGUGCUGACACCAAGGAGUGAAAGGAAGUAGUAUCCAUAUGCAUUAAUAGCGUGAUGAGGACUGGAGCCAGCAGGCAGCAGGCAGGCACGGAUAAAAAGUGGCUACAGUCAGCUCUUCAGCUCGUGGCCAGCAGGUACCAGAACGGACCCCAGAGGUGGCUGCAUGGCAGCGGCAGUCAGUAUGACCAUUAAAGCACUGUGGGAUGUGAGGCAUUUGCCAAAGCACAUGCCCUGAGUUCUGGGUUUCCAUUGUUGGCAGCAAGAUCAGAGAAGACACAGAUGAAACGCCACGCAGCAAAGACCGGAGCCACAGUGAUGGGAAGCAGCAUGCAGCAGUUAUGCCAAACCCCUCUGUACGGGCUCUCCCCUUGUCUCCCUGCCACUUCCUGCGAGAUUAAUGCCGGGAACGCACAGCAAACGCCCCAGCAGAAAUAAAUACUUCCCCCUCCAGCUGGGAUUUCCAACAAGUUCUGCGGAUACUUUCCUCUGUAGCAAAGCCAAGAGCUCCCAGGACAUGGUGAGGGUGCCUUGUACUGUACAGCACUUCCAAACAGGAGGAUUGCAUGGAUUUAUGGGCACUCCAGGUAAUAUUUCUGCCACAGGGCUCGGAAGGAGAGAAUUCAAUCACAUGGCAUCUUAUUUUCAGAUGCUUCCGGUAUCUUUUCCUGUGGCUGCUUUGCAGCAGCAACAUCCACACUCUUCCUUCCUUGUACUUUAACACUUGGAGAGUCGCCUCGAUUUCUUCAGCCUCGGACUGGCACAUCCAUCUUUCCUUUGUCUCUGGAGUCCUCUUUGGACAGUGCUGAUGUUCUGAAUACAGCAAGAGUCUCCCAAGUCAACCAGACACACAGCCUGGAUCCACACUGUGCCUCAGAGUGGUUCUGUGAAAAGAGGCUUGGUGGGUAGCAGGUUGAACUGCGGAUCCUGAUUCAGCCCUGAUUAGCAGGAAGGACUGUGAGUGUGAGAGUGGCACCCCAAAGCACAGGUGUUUUACCUGGGGAUAUGCACAAGUGCAAAGAGUCCAGUGGUUGGAAAAGGAGGGUGCAGCACAGGAGACUUUGACUUUGUUUCUCUCUGCCACUGACAUCCUUGUAUGACUCAAGUCACAUCACUUUGGUUUGUAGGUGCAGAGGGAGGGUGACACCCGUUUCUGAAAAGCACUCUGAAAGGGCGCAGUCAAGCAGCGUCAGCAUGGUUGGAAAGGAAAGCCUCAGAAGGCAUCUGGUCAAGCAUCUCAACAGCUACUGGUCCCUUGAACCUUGGAGUAGGAGGACACUCAGCACCACGCAGAGUCAGGUCACAACACCCCCUACCUGGGCCGUCUGUGGCAGAAAUAGCUGGUUAACAAACCCCAGGCACAGCAGGAUGCAACAACGGUGAAAUGCACGGGUUCUUUUGCAGCUGGGGCCAAUGCUGCGCCACCCUGGCCAGGAGAACUCGGGACACCGUGCCACCCCUCCCCGUGGCUCCGUGCAAAGCAGGAACAAGCAAACGAUGCAAGUGACAAUACUCAUGGCGAAGAGCACGCUGGCUGGGGUCAACACCCUGGGUGAGCAGCACUUCCUCGGUCCUGCUGCGAUUGUUAGCCUGAAGGUCCAGUCAGCCGUCCAGUGACCAUGCAGGCUCCCCAGCAGUCGUAUUUCUUUUUCCCAUUCCAGCAUCCAGACGUAUGUAUUGUGAGGCUUUUGCUUUCCCCUACCUGGACUGAUAUCCUCUUGUGUGUGCCAGCUUUCUGCCUGUGAGAGGGAUGUGCUCAGGAGCAAAGGAUUUUGCUUUGCUGUUGCUGUGACCAGGGGAAGGGAGCACUAAUAAACGUCUAGAGGGCA